AUAACAUUUCGUAUAUAAAAAGAAAGGCAUUCUAUGAAUAUGUACAUUUACUACAGAACUGUAAAUGAUGAUGGACGUCUCAAAGAUAUCCUUUAUUUUACUGUUAGUCGCAUGGAGCGUAUAGGGCGAUGCUGAAGGACUGGCCUCUAAGACUGGAGGGCAAGAGCCCGACACCCGAGUGGUGGGUGGCAAAGACGCACCCGAAGGCCUUGUGCCACACCAAGUCGCUCUGAAAACAAAAAAAGAUGGCUGGACUUUCUGCGGCGGUGCCGUCAUCUCCGACAGAUGGAUACUGACAGCUGCCCAUUGUGUCGAAAGUUUUAAACCAUCCGAAUUAACCGCUGUAGUUGGUACAUUAUCGAAAA
Molecule: long non-coding RNA, 365 nt
Organism: Pieris napi
Lineage: Eukaryota; Metazoa; Arthropoda; Insecta; Lepidoptera; Pieridae
Exons: 3
Source: RefSeq, a predicted model, not a curated record